GGAAAACAGAGGUGCUAUGCUGCUGAUGUUAUUUUGAUUUGAAUUACUUGCAUGGUUGCUAACUAUGACAUACAAUUUGUCUUGUCCCUUUAGUUUUGCUUUUUCUCAGAUGGGAAUGGAUUUUCGUUUUGGAUUCCAUUGGUUUAAAAUUUAUUAUUUUAUUUUGGAGAGUGUUUUAUAUGUUUUUGUUCAUUAAUUUGAUGAUCUUGUUCCCGUUAAUCCCCUUGGUUUGUGUUCUAUGAAGGCCAACUAUUAUUUGCAAAAACUUAAUUAGUCUCCUUUUCAUCCAUGACAGUAAUGGUGUUUCCCGUGCUUUGUCUAUAAUCCUAGAUAUUGAACAUAAGCAACCUUUUAAUUUGUUGAUGACUUGUUUGUUUGUCUAUAUCAUUAUUGCAUAUAUUGUAUUUUGACUUUCUGGAUACCGAUUUCUUCUUUUCUUUUUAACUCCUAUGCUAGAAAGUUUAGAGACAGAUAAUGAGUAUCAUAAGAGUUCGAAGUAAUAGGAGCAACAUAAAAUGAAUUUGUGGCAUAAUGUUUUUCCCAACUUGGCACAUCUUUUUUCUCUACAUGAGGUUUUCGUUGCUAGAUUUGGCAAUUGUACCCACAAGAUCCUGCCAAUGAUUCUGCCUACUGUUCUCCAAAUAUGAGAUGCUUUAUCCUUUCCAUUUUUUCAGUUUAAUGAUUUACCCAUUAUGCUUUGUUGAGAUUUGGUUUCAUUAAUAAUAUUUGAUACUUGUAAGGAAAAAAUGAAGAUAUAGCAUUUUUAGUUUGUUUAAUCCAGAUGUGAUGGCUUAUGCUUCAACAUACGAAUUCUAUGUGCUGUGUUUUGUGUCACAGUGGCAUUUACACAAUUAUUGCUCCCUACUGAAGCCAAGGUAGCCAUGGAAAUUGCUUAUGCUGAGAAAACAUCUGAGUUUGCAUCAAAAAGAUUUAAUCGGAAUUUUAGGGAGCUUGACUUAAAUGAGACACUGAUAACUCGGAACAAAAGACUUCUUUCUAGGUUGCAAGCCCUAAAUAAAGCAGGUACAUACUGGCUUUAAAUCUGUUGCAUGUUACAGUCUGCUCUUCUUGCUUUUGUUUUGAUAGGAUAUGGUCUUUGCCUGGUAUAUAUUUUUUUAUAUUAGGCAAAACCAAUAAAAUCAAACGUCUCUUUCUAUUUUUGACUUUAUUUAAGCAUGCAAAAUAAUUUUCCACUUUGUUAAAGGUUCAAUAUGGUUUCUGUCAAAAUUUCAGAUUGAAUUUGGUUGGAUUUUAAUUUGGUUUAGUAAUUGUAAUGUUACAAAAGUGAAAAUUUAUGGUUUUUGAGAGAGAUUAGAAUUUAAUGGUAUUUAGAUAUAAGUUCAAUGACUAUAGGUGAGCUGAACCCUAAUAAGUGAAGCAUUGAGUUGCCUUUUUGUCCUAGUCUUUCGGUUCUAUUGAUAUAUUUAAUUGACAUUUGCAUAGAUCUAACUUAGAUGAUUACAGACUCUUUAGGGCAAAGUUGAAUGGAUCAAAUUACAGGGAAAUGGUGCAUUUAUUAUUUAAUUUUGGAAGGGAUAUGAACAACAAAAAAGGGUAAACAUUCUUGCCAUUGGGCUAGCAAAUCAAUGGUCAAAUCCCCUAUCUUGUAACAUUGGACGUAAGAGUUUCAAACACUUCUCUACUAUUCAACUUUAGUUUAGUAAUACGAGAGUUGUUUUAAGGACUGUGAAGUCUGAAGUUCAAGUCCUAGUCGGAGCCAUGUAGAAGAGGAAUCUAUAUUCUGCAUUUUUGUUAGCUUAUUGUAAUAGAAGAAGCAUGCUUUUCAUACAAUGCAUGACAAAGAACAAUAGAAAAUAGUAUGCGUAAAGUAGCAUAUAUUUCUCUAAUGAAUUAAGGAUUUCAGGAAAAGCAACACAAGUAGGCAUCUUAGAGUAAAUCAUUAGGCCAUCAAAAGCUGAAAAUUUAAUAAGCAGACGACUAUUGCAGUGCCAAAGGCAUCUUGUUUGGCACUGCAAUGAAUCAUAUUGUCACGUAUGGUCUUGAAGCUGCAAAGUUUUAGUUUUUGUGACUCUUCUCUUACAAGCUUUGUGAUUUUGAUCAUGGCAGUGGAAAUUGGUCGACGGUUUUUCCCUAAUUGCUCUCAAGUGCUUGAUCAAUUCAUGGAAGACGACUCGUUGCUUGAUUUGUUUUAUCUUGAAAAAGACAUCCCAGAAGAGCAGAGAAUCAAAAGGGUGCGCUUCAUGGAGCCCAAAGAGGAAACUCGGAGGGCCUUUAGUAAGGAUAAGGCUGAGUUCAUGAGCACAGCUUUUGGGAGAAAAUGUCUAAUAAAAGCAUGAUGACUGAAUGUAAAAUGUUGGGGCUGUAAUUGAGAUUUCUGAUUGUAUAAUUUCAGCGAAAGCAAAUGAGCUCUAUGAGCUAAACUCCAAAUACUAUGAAGCCAGUUGCAGAUUAAAUUUAUUGUCCUUAGUUUCUAAAUAAUCUAGAUGGAAAUCAAAUUGACAUAUUUAGGGCAAUCUCUAUCUUCCCUUUACCAUCUUCA
Molecule: unclassified non-coding RNA, 2500 nt
Filed under: Hevea brasiliensis (rubber tree)
Lineage: Eukaryota; Viridiplantae; Streptophyta; Magnoliopsida; Malpighiales; Euphorbiaceae
Source: RNAcentral